This 434-nucleotide ribosomal RNA is filed under the name uncultured archaeon. RNAcentral describes it as "bacterial SSU rRNA". It matches the Rfam family "Archaeal small subunit ribosomal RNA", at positions 19 to 458 of the family's 1478-position model. The record is from RNAcentral.
GGACCUGACUGCUAUCGGAUUGAUACUAAGCCAUGCGAGUCUUUGCAGUAAUGCAAGGCAUACGGCUCAGUAACACGUAGUCAACUUACCCUAUGGACGAGGAUAAUCUCGGGAAACUGAGCAUAAUACUCGAUAGAUCAUAAUGCCUGGAAUGGUUUAUGGUUGAAAUGAUUCGUCGCCAUAGGAUAGGACCGCGGCCUAUCAGCUUGUUGGUGAGGUAAUGGCCCACCAAGGCGAUUACAGGUACGGGCUCUGAGAGGAGAAGCCCGGAGAUGGGUACUGAGACAAGGACCCAGGCCCUAUGGGGCGCAGCAGGCGAGAAAACUUUGCAAUGUGCGAAAGCACGACAAGGUUAAUCCGAGUGAUUUCUGCUAAAGAAAUCUUUUGCAAGUCAUAAAACCACUAGUGAAUAAGGGGUGGGCAAGUUCUGGUGU